ACGGGAGGCAGCAGUGGGGAAUAUUGCACAAUGGGGGAAACCCUGAUGCAGCGACGCCGCGUGAGUGAAGAAGUAUUUCGGUAUGUAAAGCUCUAUCAGCAGGGAAGAAAAUGACGGUACCUGACUAAGAAGCCACGGCUAACUACGUGCCAGCAGCCGCGGUAAUACGUAGGUGGCAAGCGUUAUCCGGAUUUAUUGGGUGUAAAGGGUGUGUAGGCGGGACUGCAAGUCAGAAGUGAAAAUCAUGGGCUCAACCCAUGACCUGCUUUUGAAACUGUGGUUCUUGAGAGUGGGAGAGGUAAACGGAAUUCCUGGUGUAGCGGUGAAAUGCGUAGAUAUCAGGAGGAACACCGGUGGCGAAGGCGGUUUACUGGACCAUUACUGACGCUGAGACACGAAAGCGUGGGGAGCAAACAGGAUUAGAUACCCUGGUA
RNAcentral lists this ribosomal RNA (434 nucleotides) under uncultured Oscillospiraceae bacterium. Its description in RNAcentral is "bacterial SSU rRNA". It matches the Rfam family "Bacterial small subunit ribosomal RNA", at positions 341 to 792 of the family's 1533-position model. Lineage: Bacteria; Bacillati; Bacillota; Clostridia; Eubacteriales; Oscillospiraceae. The record is from RNAcentral.